This 910-nucleotide ribosomal RNA is filed under the name Triticum aestivum (bread wheat). Its description in RNAcentral is "partial small subunit ribosomal RNA". Lineage: Eukaryota; Viridiplantae; Streptophyta; Magnoliopsida; Poales; Poaceae. The record is from RNAcentral.
CCUUUCUCAAUUUCCAAGUCUCUCUCUCCUGUACUAGUCCUCCACCGAACACAACACACACCAGUACUAGUCCACCAAGAACAGAACACACGUACAUGUCUUCUCUCCCUCCUAUUCCUCUGCUCCUAAACUAGCCAGACCGGCCAUGCCGCCGGUGACGGGGAAACAUGCUGCUCCGCCGCUGCCGGACCUUCCACCCUCUCUCUCUCCCCUGAUCCAAAUCCCUAUUUUUUUUUUCAGGAUUCAGCCCCAAACUCUCUAAUCCCCUCUCAGAUUUGACUUGCAGGUGAGGCUCUUAUCGGGCUUUGAUUUCGCUGCUCCAGAUCGAAGCUCCCGGCGUUGGCGGCCGCGGUGCGCUGGGUGUUGCAGAUCAGAGUUCAAAGGCAUAGCCAUGGAGCAUAUCGAGCAUAAGUGCAGAUAGAAAGACUAAGACAGUGGGAGGAAGACAAGUUGCUGGUUUGGCUUUUUGGGGAAGAAUGGAGACGACGUGUGAAGUCUUGGCAAUGGCUUGCUCUGCUCUCUCUCCUUUUAAUAUCAGAAAACCCUCUUCCUUGGCUGGUAUGGCUGCCCAUCCCUUCUUUACCGUGUUGCCUUUGUGGAGCCUUUCUAUUGGCUAGGAGUUGCAGCCCAUGCCUAGACCAACUGUUGGUCAAUUGACUACUGAUAUACAUAUUAUGCACGUGAUGGUGGUGGUCAAAUGUGUAUCUCAAAUGUGUCUUGCUGUCCUGGUUGACUCAGAGAUAUUUUUUUGUUGGUCUAAGUUUGAUGUGGCAUUGUUGUAUAGCUUAGCAUAGUCUGGUCUCCCUAUAUUUUUUUUGUUUCCAAAGAUUUGUAAUAUAACUGUACAACUAUACUGUUUGAGAUGUGUGAAUAUAAAUAUAUAUUUGAGUGGUUAUGCUUGUUGAAGAAA